This 503-nucleotide ribosomal RNA is filed under the name uncultured organism. Its description in RNAcentral is "SSU rRNA". It matches the Rfam family "Bacterial small subunit ribosomal RNA", at positions 21 to 509 of the family's 1533-position model. The record is from RNAcentral.
GGCUCAGGAUGAACGCUAGCUACAGGCUUAACACAUGCAAGUCGAGGGGCAGCACUGGGAAUGGCUUGCCAUCCCCUGGUGGCGACCGGCGCACGGGUGAGUAACGCGUAUCCAACCUGCCCGCAACCGCGGAAUAGCCCGCCGAAAGGCGGAUUAAUGCCGCAUGAGCUCGCGUGGGGGCAUCUGCCCGCGAGCAAAGGUUCACUCCGGUUGCGGAUGGGGAUGCGUCCGAUUAGGCAGCAGGCGGGGCAACGGCCCACCUGGCCUACGAUCGGUAGGGGUUCUGAGAGGAAGGUCCCCCACAUUGGAACUGAGACACGGUCCAAACUCCUACGGGAGGCAGCAGUGAGGAAUAUUGGUCAAUGGGCGCGAGCCUGAACCAGCCAAGUAGCGUGGAGGAUGAAGGCCCUACGGGUUGUAAACUCCUUUUAUGCGGGGAUAAAAAGUGCCACGUGUGGCAUGUUGCAGGUACCGCAUGAAUAAGGACCGGCUAAUUCCGUGCC